Molecule: RNA transcript, 3671 nt
Organism: Lolium perenne
Lineage: Eukaryota; Viridiplantae; Streptophyta; Magnoliopsida; Poales; Poaceae
Gene name: phosphatidylglycerophosphate phosphatase PTPMT2
Source: RefSeq, a predicted model, not a curated record
UAUAAUUAAUGAUGGUUUUUUGUUAGAUCCAGUCAAAUGUUGUUUGACUUCGAAAACUUAUAGAUCUUUUCAUAAACUGAUGGAGUUUAUGCUAGGAAAAAACUUUUGAAGCCUCACAAUGCAAGCUGUCUAGAUGCCUUCUUUUUUAAAUGUAGACUAGUGCCUAAAAUUCUUUAUUUUCAUGUAUGUGUCCACAUAAUUCAACCCAGCUAUGGCAUUGCAUCGACUAUAUGUAUUUGGUAGUAAAAUUACUCGAACAAUCAAAUCUGAAUAUGUGAUGAACUCACCCCCGACCAAAAAAUGUAAGGCGUAUUUUGUUUGACCACUACAAGACCUUGCUUGUUGUAUUGAUAUAUAGUUCAUUGAUGUAUAGUUCACGUGGAACAAAACAACAAACAUAAUGAAUUAUACACUCAUAUAUACUCACACAUGUAAAUUUAACUCUUGUGCUGCAUUUUUUAGAAAAUGGCAUGUCCCGAAACUCAAAACACGCACUUGCAUGCGCCUCAUUUUACGUGACCGUAAAUAUGUGUGAUAGUGUGAGAUACGAUGGUAGUUUGCGUGUUUAAUCAUGCAUGUUUAAAAAAGUAAGACGUGUGUUUUCUCGUAAUAGCUAGUGCCAAGAUUUUCCCACGAUGAUAUAGUCAAAAUCAAGAUUAUCAAAAUUCCGUUAUUGAGAGCCAAAAUGGGAAAAAAAAAGCACUCCUUCUAGAAAUUGCAUGCCAGAAUACCAUUACUGUCCAAAUAAUACUAAUUGAGUAAAAAAAAGACAUUAAUGUCCUUACUCUUUCAAAUCGCUAAGAUCUUUCUUGAUGUUGUGAGAGAUUGUCAGGAUGCCAAUACGGCAUGGUUGCACAAUCUCAACCACUAACUAUUAAGUAGUAAGGGAAAAUUUGCCAGUACUAACUACUAUCUAGAGGUUGUUUCCUAGCUUGACGUCGGUAGGCGCAUGUGGUGAUGGGUAUUUCCAUAACACAUUUGCCAAUGGUGACGAUCAUGCACAUCAUGUAGCUCAAGGCAUACCACAGUGUCCAAACUCAACCAUGCUAGCUUACGCCUUCUAUGUAUGCACCGUCAAAAGAGAGCACUCAACUAGGGCUAAUAUCAAGAUACCGCGGGGAUCGUCGUUUGCUCUAGGUAAGGACUCGCCACGUGGGGCGAGAAGGUCAUUGGGGUCAGCCCUUUAGAUCAUUAUCUAUAAUCUUCCACUAACUAGCAAUAUCACAUACUAAUAUAAUGAAGGUUUGACUGAUUUUAUUGGGUGUAGAUGAACCCGAUUGUUGUAUGGCAGCUCUGCCACUGGAUAUGACGAUGAGUAACGAGCGUGGUGGAGUAGGGGAAGGUACAACAAUGUGAGUUGGAGGGGUGUGGCAGUAUGAAAGAUGCGACGGCUGGCGCGAGUAACAACAGUGGGUGGCAUUUAGCGGUGGUACAUAUUCGACCGGGCGGAAGAAGAGAUUUUGGUUGUGUUAGGGAUAAGGAACAUUUUGUUGAGAUUAUUAGGGGGCAAUUUUGAUACUUUAAAUAGUAUGACACCUAUUUUGUUGACUAAUAGAAAAUAUUUGGGAAUAGACGGUAGAUGCUAUUUUUGCAUGAAAAAGCCCAGAUCUGAGUGGUAUAUUGACACUUUGGUUUUUCAUUGGCUGGAUUUUGUAACACACUUUUUUUUGACAAUCAAUACCAUAUAUAUUUAUAGCAACAAAUAGUACAUGGUAGAGAUACAUGAACUGACUCCAACGAUUACAAAAUAAAGUCUAAAAGAUAGUAACAAAUCUUUGAGAUCUUCAAUUUCUUUCUUCUUCCAUAACACAAUCUUGUACUUUUCUAAAGGCAGCCAAAGAUAGAUAACGAACCAUAAACCUGUAGAUACCGACGAAAGUUCUCCCAUAAUUUUUUGAGGCGCAAUGCCAAGGCUGCGUACACGCACGCAACCAUUAAAGCAGUUAUACAACAUCGGCAAGAGUACCAACACCAGUAUGUCAGGGAAUAAUAACCGAUUAGCUUUGUCGUCGUCGAUGGAGAGCCGAGAGUACGAAUCACCAUUGUCGAUGACGUAGCAGCCAGAACAAAAACUGCGAGGAUAAUCCUCCUCGCGGCAACAACGACAAAAGAUCCAAAAUCGAUCUAGCGAAGCAAGAUCCGAAGACUCAUACCUAGCCAAUUGUGAUUGUUCAACACCCCCAUUGACGCCGGGAAGAAGAUGUCGUCGCCGAGCGAAAGGCCGAAGAUCACUUAUUGCAGACGAUGCCAUCUCAGUUGAGGGAAAACCAACAAAAAGACUGCUACCAAAAUCCUAACAUAAUCGAAUGAAAACAAUCUAUGGAGGAGGAUGAACUGGAUGCGGCUAGGGUUGAGGCGGUGGCUGAGAGGAGGAUGAACAAUCUUUUAUUCGAAACUCCACAUAUAGAUCGGGUUCCCCAUUUCUUCCGACGCCGGCGAAGCCGAUCGGAGGAAGGGGAACCAAUCUAGAGAGGAAAAUGAACUAGAUGCGGCUAGGAUUGAGGCGGUGGCUGAGAGGAGAGACGGGAGGAAAAGUCGGUUUGUUACGAUUCUGUAACACACUUGUUUUAACGAGUAGUGAAAUUUUGGCAAUUUGGUUUUCCAUCCAGCAGUUUCCCCUCCUAUGCUGAUAUUCUCUCUCUCUCUCUCUCCGUCUCCGACCUCCAAAUCCACCAUCCAUUCCUCGCCGGAAUUCUGUCAAUUUAGCUCUACGCCAUCUCCGAUCCCAUACGUCUACAUCGGAGAAGAGCAGCUCGCACCAAGCGUCCAAGCUCUCAACCUCGUGCGAUUUGAGGAGAAAUCCGGCAGUUGUUCCCGCGGCAUUCAGAUCGCCAUGGCUGCAACGGAGUCGGCCCGUCGGCGCGGGCAGAGGAAGGCAAAGGAAGCGGCCGUGGGCGCGGCCGCGAGGGCGCUGUUCUACCCGACGCUGCUGUACAACGUGGUUAGGAGCAAGGUCCAGGCCGAGUUCCGGUGGUGGGACGAGGUCGAUCAGUUCAUUUUGCUUGGAGCUGUUCCAUUCCGCAAGGAUGUUCCACGCUUGCAGAAGCUUGGAGUACAUGGUGUUAUAACUCUAAAUGAACCAUUUGAGACUUUAGUGCCGUCAUCAAUGUAUCAGUCUCGUGGAAUCGAUCACCUUGUUAUACCUACAAGAGAUUAUAUGUUUGCUCCAUCACUUGUGGAUAUUAAUCAAGCUAUUGAUUUCAUUCAUAGAAAUACAUCCUGCGGUAGAAUGACAUAUAUUCACUGCAAAGCUGGGAGGGGACGGAGUACAACAAUUGUCUUGUGCUAUCUGGUGAAGUACAAGAAUAUGACACCUACUGCAGCAUUUGAGUAUGUGCGGUCUAAAAGGGCUAGAGUGCUUCUUACCCGUUCUCAGUGGAAGUGUGGACUGUGGACCAAACUCACUCCCAGUGGACCCAAAUCCAGCCCACGAAUUAUAGAAUGAGUUAAGACGAAUUAUGUAUUUUCCAGCGGCGCGGUCAGUGGAGAAUUAUGAAAUUUCGUAGGUGGUAUUGAAAGCUAGGUGGUUCAAGAAUUCAGUACAAAGGUCGUUGGAGCAGCACCAUCGAAAACACAGGACGUGGUACUCUCAACUGAAGAUGGCUCUGGUUCGCCAGGAGUUAUCAAAGAGAAUGCCAGCUUGUCUUCUCAUAAAACCACCCCGUCGAGGC